UACGUAGGGUGCGAGCGUUGUCCGGAAUUAUUGGGCGUAAAGAGCUCGUAGGCGGUCUGUCGCGUCGAUCGUGAAAACUUGGGGCUUAACCCUGAGCUUGCGGUCGAUACGGGCAUGACUGGAGUUCGGCAGGGGAGACUGGAAUUCCUGGUGUAGCGGUGAAAUGCGCAGAUAUCAGGAGGAACACCGGUGGCGAAGGCGGCCUGCUGGGCAGUUGCUGACACUGAGGCGCGACAGCGUGGGGAGCAAACAGG
This 254-nucleotide ribosomal RNA is filed under the name uncultured bacterium. RNAcentral's name for it is "partial 16S ribosomal RNA". It matches the Rfam family "Bacterial small subunit ribosomal RNA", at positions 524 to 776 of the family's 1533-position model. The record is from RNAcentral.